ACGGGUGAGUAACACGUGAGUAACCUACCUUAUACAGGGGAAUAACACCGUGAAAAUGGUGCUAAUACCGCAUAAUAUUAUUUUGUGGCAUCGCAGAAUAAUCAAAGGAGCAAUCCGGUAGAAGAUGGACUCGCGUCCGAUUAGCUAGUUGGAGGGGUAAUGGCCCACCAAGGCGACGAUCGGUAGCCGAACUGAGAGGUUGAUCGGCCACAUUGGGACUGAGACACGGCCCAGACUCC
RNAcentral lists this ribosomal RNA (239 nucleotides) under uncultured bacterium. Its description in RNAcentral is "partial 16S ribosomal RNA". It matches the Rfam family "Bacterial small subunit ribosomal RNA", at positions 102 to 339 of the family's 1533-position model. The record is from RNAcentral.